Molecule: ribosomal RNA, 351 nt
Filed under: uncultured bacterium
Lineage: Bacteria
Description: bacterial SSU rRNA
Rfam family: Bacterial small subunit ribosomal RNA
Source: RNAcentral
GGGCCCGCACAAGCGGUGGAGUAUGUGGUUUAAUUCGAUGCAACGCGAAGAACCUUACCAGGGUUUGACAUCCUGCGAAUCUCUUGGAAACGAGAGAGUGCCUUCGGGAACGCAGUGACAGGUGGUGCAUGGCUGUCGUCAGCUCGUGUCGUGAGAUGUUGGGUUAAGUCCCGCAACGAGCGCAACCCACGUCUUUAGUUGCCAGCAUUUAGUUGGGCACUCUAGAGAGACUGCCGGUGAUAAACCGGAGGAAGGUGUGGAUGACGUCAAGUCAUCAUGCCCCUUACAUCCUGGGCUACACACGUACUACAAUGGCCGGUACAGAGAGCAGCCACUACGCGAGUAGGAGCG